This 498-nucleotide ribosomal RNA is filed under the name uncultured bacterium. RNAcentral describes it as "bacterial SSU rRNA". It matches the Rfam family "Bacterial small subunit ribosomal RNA", at positions 29 to 517 of the family's 1533-position model. The record is from RNAcentral.
AGUGAACGCUGGCGGCAGGCCUAAUACAUGCAAGUCGAACGGCAGCACAGUGGAGCUUGCUCCAUGGGUGGCGAGUGGCGGACGGGUGAGGAAUACAUGGGAAUCUGCCCAGUCGUGGGGGAUAACGUAGGGAAACUUACGCUAAUACCGCAUGCGCCCUUCGGGGAAAGCCGGGGACCGUAAGGCCUGGCGCGAUUGGAUGAGCCCAUGUCGGAUUAGCUAGUUGGCGGGGUAACGGCCCACCAAGGCGACGAUCCGUAGCUGGUCUGAGAGGAUGAUCAGCCACACUGGAACUGAGACACGGUCCAGACUCCUACGGGAGGCAGCAGUAGGGAAUAUUGGACAAUGGGCGCAAGCCUGAUCCAGCCAUGCCGCGUGAGUGAAGAAGGCCCUCGGGUUGUAAAGCUCUUUUGUCCGGAAAGAAAGCACUGGGUUAAUACCCCGGUGUCCUGACGGUACCGGAAGAAUAAGCACCGGCUAACUUCGUGCCAGCAGCCG